This 105-nucleotide microRNA precursor is filed under the name Canis lupus familiaris (dog). RNAcentral's name for it is "mir-8834 microRNA precursor family". It matches the Rfam family "mir-8834 microRNA precursor family". RNAcentral also lists the same sequence under 1 other name. The record is from Rfam by way of RNAcentral. Lineage: Eukaryota; Metazoa; Chordata; Mammalia; Carnivora; Canidae.
AGGAGCAACAGCCCCAGUGGCGGGGCCAGCUCUGGAGACCUGGAUUCAGCCCCCACAGUAACUCCGGAGCUCUCAGUCUGCAGGGCCUCGAGGUUCCGGGGCGGG